GCGCUUAGUAGCUUCCUCGUCUGGCUCUACGUGGCGCGGGAGUGGCGCCAGAAUUCAAACGAACAGUCGCCUUUGGAGGCGAAGCUGCCGCCUAGCUCGAGCCAAGUACGCCCCGGGCGGAUGGGGCGGCUCGGGGUCAGGAGUGGACUAGAGUUUUGCGGCGCGGGACGGCCCAGUCUGUGACCCAUUCGAGAAGUCGCGCUAGCUGGUUGGCAGACGCCUUGGGGGAACUGACGCUCAGGAAUCGCUGCACGCCCGUAAAGAGAAAUUGGAGGGCCGAACUGCUCAGUUGGAAAUAGUUGGCGAUAGCGCCGCGUUUCUCCUCCCGUCCACAGUGAGAAGGCUGCCUUUCUGGAGAGCCGGCCGGCUGCGCUGCAAGCGGUCGAGCUGCGGUCUGUCGGGGCCCGCCCCACCCCCACGCUGCCGGGUGCCCGGGUGCCCGGCGCUGCUGUUACGCUCUGAUCAGCACAGAGAUUAGCAGACCCGAGAGAGCUGCUUCCGAGCCGCGUCUGCAACCUACACCACAGCUCAUGGCAGUGCUGGAUCCUCAACCUACUGAGCAAGGCCAGGGAUUGAACCUGCAACCUUAUGGUUCUUAGUCGGAUUAGUUAACCACUGUGCCACGACGGGAACUCCAUGCGGACUUAUUAAUGAUGGAUAUUCUGACUGGUGUGAGGUGGUAUCUCAUGGUAGUUUAGAUUUGCAUUUCUCUAAUAAUCAGUGAUACAGAGCAUUGUUUCAGGUGCCUGUUGCUCAUCACAGCACAUCUUGAUUUGACUGCCCACAACACAAGUGCUCCAUUGCCACACAGGUAGUGGCUGUUGUAUUGGACAUCUCAGAUCUAGGGUGAUUCAUAUAUAUAUAUAUGUAAGUUGGAGCACCACUGUGUUAGUGUAAAUGCAGUACUGUACACCUGAUGUAUUCUUUUUAGAAAAACUUUCCAUAUUUCUUUUGAUUCAUAAACUAAUAACUCUAACAAAUGCCAUGCAAAAUGAAGUGAAUUUAGAUCCUGAUUACUGACAAUAUAGCCCUGCAGUGAACAUGGUGAUGACUAUGAAGCUAGCACAUAACUCGUUCAAGUCUUUUAUCUCUUCAGGGAACAGGAAAGCAUACUGAGGAAUGAAGCCAGUAGUUAUUGCUCUCACACCUAGAGCAGAUAAGCAAAAUACUACCAAAUAUUGGAAGAGAGUUAAGAAAGGCCAUAUAAAGGUCAGAACUGAAAUUAAAUGCAUCCUUGAAGAAUUUAGCAUAUCGAAAAUAACUGCUUGUAUUCCAUAGCAAACUUUAGAGAUAAGGUCAUCAUUUUAAUCAUUUUUUGAAAGAAAUAUUCACUGAGCCCUGGUGCAUGUUCUAUGCUUCAGAGAGAGUUAACAUGAAUACACAAAAGUCCUUGCCCUUCCUGAAAUAUUUAUCAUUUAGUAAGAAGUAACCAUUCAACUUUAGCCACCUUAGCUUUAAAAAUUAGGUACUAGGGAGUUCCUGUUGUGCUCAGUGGGUUAAGGAUCCAGCAUUGCCGCAAGCUUUGGCAUAGGUAACAGAUGAGGCUUGGAUCUGGCGUUGCUGUUGUUGAGGUGUAGGCUGGUAGCUGCAGCUCUGAUUUGAUCCAUAACCUGGGAACUUCCAUAUACCACAGGUGCAACCCUAUUAAGAAAAAAAAAAAAAAAAAAAAAAAAA
RNAcentral lists this long non-coding RNA (1674 nucleotides) under Sus scrofa (pig). Its description in RNAcentral is "lncRNA (ENSSSCG00040031992.1)". The record is from RNAcentral. Lineage: Eukaryota; Metazoa; Chordata; Mammalia; Artiodactyla; Suidae.